UACAGAGGGUGCGAGCGUUAAUCGGAAUUACUGGGCGUAAAGCGUGCGCAGGCGGUGAUGUAAGCCAGGUGUGAAAUCCCCGGGCUUAACCUGGGAACUGCAUUUGUGACUGCAUCGCUGGAGUGCGGCAGAGGGGGAUGGAAUUCCGCGUGUAGCAGUGAAAUGCGUAGAUAUGCGGAGGAACACCGAUGGCGAAGGCAAUCCCCUGGGCCUGCACUGACGCUCAUGCACGAAAGCGUGGGGAGCAAACAGG
Molecule: ribosomal RNA, 253 nt
Filed under: uncultured bacterium
Lineage: Bacteria
Description: partial 16S ribosomal RNA
Rfam family: Bacterial small subunit ribosomal RNA
Source: RNAcentral